GAGAGUUUGAUCCUAGCUCAGGAUGAACGCUGGCGGCGUGGAUAAGGCAUGCAAGUAGAACGCCGAGCACCACUUUGUUUCUAAUUUUCUCAGUUUAAGGUUAAAGUUUUAAAAAUCUAUUUUAAUGAGAAGUGAUUGGAGCUGAAGUGGUGCUCGGAGUUGCGAACGAGGUAGUAAUACAUAGGUACAAACCCCAGAGUCAGGAAUAACCUACCGAAAGGUAGGCUAAUACUUGAUGGUCCCGCAAGGGUAAAGAUUUAUCGCUUUGGGAUUGGCCUGUGCAGUAUCAGCUAGUUGGUAGGGUAAUGGCCUACCAAGGCAAUGACGCUUAGGAGAGCUGAGAGGCUGACCUCCACCGAUGGUACUGAGACACGGACCAUACACCUACGGGUGGCUGCAGUCGAGAAUCUUCCGCAAUGGACGCAAGUCUGACGGAGCGACGCCGCGUGAUUGAUGAAGUCUUUCGGGAUGUAAAGAUCUUUUAUGUAGGAGAAAGUUUUGAUAGUACUACAUGAAUAAGGGGUUGCUAAACUCGUGCCAGCAGCAGCGGUAAUACGAGUACCCCAAGCGUUAUCCGGAAUUAUUGGGCGUAAAGGGUAUGUAGGUUGUUAUGUUAGUCUUUUGUCAAAGCCUUCGGCUCAACCGGAGAAUUGCGGGAGAAACGGCAUAACUAGAGGGCGCGAGAGGUUUGCGGAACUCAUGGUGUAGGGGUGAAAUCCGUUGAUAUCAUGGGGAACACCAAAAGCGAAGGCAGCAAACUGGCGCGUUUCUGACGCUGAAAUACGAAAGCGUAGGUAGCGAAUGGGAUUAGAUACCCCAGUAGUCUACGCCCUAAACGAUGAUAUCUAGCUAUUCGGAGUAUCGACCCUCUGAGUGGCACAGCUAACGCGUUAAGAUAUCCGCCUGGGAAGUACGACCGCAAGGUUAAAACUCAAAGGAAUAGACGGGGACUUGCACAAGCGGUGGAUCAGGUGGCUUAAUUCGAUGGUAAACGAAGAACCUCACCAGGGUUUGAAACUCAUAGGAAAGACCUAAGAAACUAGGUAACUCCGCAAGGACUUAUGAGCAGGUGAUGCAUGGCCGUCGUCAGUUCGUGGUUUGAACUGUCCCCUUAAGUGGGUCAACGAACGCAACCCUCGUUGUCUGUUAUACGUGUCAGACGAGACUGCCCCCGCCAGAGCGCACUUCGUGCGGAAUUAUAAAUGUAAAAUUUUUAAUUUUUAAAUAAUGUUUUAAUUCUUAAAUUAAGAAAUUAGAAGAAUUUGUUUAAAAAUUUGAAAUUUGAAAUUUGAAAUUCAACGUAAGUGAAGCGCGUUGUGGCGGGGGAGGAAGGAGAGGAUGACGCCAGGUCAGCAUGUCCCUUUGAUACCCUGGGCUGCACACUUGAUACAAUGGUCACUACAACGGGUCGCGACGAGGUAACUCUGAGCUAAUCCUAAUAAAGGUGGCCCCAGUUCGGAUUGAGGGCUGAAACUCGACCUCAUGAAGUUGGAAUCGCUAGUAAUCGCGGGUCAGCUAUACCGCGGUGAAUACGUUCUCAAGUCUUGUACUCACCGCCCGUCAAGUCAGGGGAGCCGUGAGUACCCGAAAUCCCAGCUAGUCUGGGCUUAAGGUAAGCAUGGUAACAAGGACUAAGUCGUAACAAGG
This 1647-nucleotide ribosomal RNA is filed under the name Candidatus Yonathbacteria bacterium CG_4_10_14_3_um_filter_43_12. Its description in RNAcentral is "bacterial SSU rRNA". It matches the Rfam family "Bacterial small subunit ribosomal RNA". RNAcentral also lists the same sequence under 2 other names. The record is from RNAcentral. Lineage: Bacteria; Candidatus Yonathiibacteriota.